Molecule: unclassified non-coding RNA, 562 nt
Filed under: Hevea brasiliensis (rubber tree)
Lineage: Eukaryota; Viridiplantae; Streptophyta; Magnoliopsida; Malpighiales; Euphorbiaceae
Source: RNAcentral
CAAAACUAAUAAUAAUAAAAGGAGCAUAACAUUGAUUUUCCUAAUUAACAUCUCUUAAUCGAGGCCCAUGAUAGUUUCCCUUGCAAUUCAGCAAAUUUAAACCUGUCUUGUAAAUUCCAUCCAGAAAAAUUGACCACUUGAGUCAUAGCAAGUCUCCACUGUUGCACCCUCUCGUCGUUCUGCUGAUAAUGUUCAAAGUCAUUUUCAAAACUCCCAUUCUGCUUUCGAACUUCUGAUGGAUUCACAUCAUAGAAAAUGAGCAAAACUAUUUGGUUGCCAGAGUUCUUGCAUUCUAAAAUUUUUACGAGUUCAUCCAAACACCAUGUUGAAGAAGCAUAAUUUUUUGAAAAGAUGACAAGAGAAAUUUUGGAGCUUUCAAUUGCUUUGAGGAGUUCUUGAGAAAUAGUUUCCCCUUUCUCAAGUUCUCUAUCAUCCUUGAAUGUGAUGAUUCCUUUUUGGCAAAACUCUUUAUACAAAUGACUAAUAAAAUUCUUACGGGUAUCUUUGCCACUAAAGCUAAGAAAAACAUCAUAUUUCCAUUGUUGAGAAGAAGAAGAAGAAG